UUAAUUUGGUCUGUUGGUCUCCAAUCUCCAGUCCAAGCGUGUAAUGUGUAGAGUUUAGUGCAGCGGAUGGGUGGGCUUCGUGAUGGAGCGCAAAGCCCAGUCGGAGUGCAUCUCGGUACAUUAUAGAAAUCAUGGCAUGCACAGUUGAGCAUUGUUCCUGAAGUGCCACAGCCCCAGGGAUCUCCAGUAGAAACAAGCAAACUCUAACUAGAUCUGGGUCCCCUUCUCUCCCAAGGGCACUACUUAUCAUGUUGUUGAGCAUUUGCUUAUUUUGCCUUGUUUACUGCACUUCACACAGGCAGUGGGCAGCAAAUGUGCUUCCACUUGGGUUAUUUGGCCCGAACUUGUGCCGCUCUCUGCACAGCACCCACUGCACCAAACUGUUAGUGAUUAGAGUAAUCCACAACACCUGCUGAUGACCUCUCCUCCAUCUAUUACACAUGACUCGGUCCCCAUUUCAUUUGGUCUUAACUGCUCUCAGGUGUGAGGGCAUGAUUGUCUUGAAAAUGGAUAAGGCAUGGAACAUGGACAUAAUUAAGACCAUGCAUCUCUGUAGUGCUCAUACUGUGUGCUGUGCCAGAAAAGUGAGGAACAAACUUUAGACCUGCACGCAGACUAAAAAUGACCUCACCCACUGGAUUUGUCUAUAUGGGUCAUAUGGAAGCAGAUGACUAAGGCACUCCUUGGAUCUCUAUAAUCAACUACAACACAAGCAAAAGUGCAAUCCCGAAGCCGUUCUACUGGGGAGAUCUUAACCUUGAGUUUGCAGGGAGACUCCUCCU
Long non-coding RNA from Thunnus maccoyii (southern bluefin tuna), 782 nucleotides. RefSeq lists it as uncharacterized. Lineage: Eukaryota; Metazoa; Chordata; Actinopteri; Scombriformes; Scombridae. The record is from RefSeq and is a predicted model, not a curated record. The transcript has 3 exons.